RNAcentral lists this long non-coding RNA (212 nucleotides) under Sorghum bicolor (sorghum). RNAcentral describes it as "long non-coding RNA (SBIC_LNC010774)". The record is from RNAcentral. Lineage: Eukaryota; Viridiplantae; Streptophyta; Magnoliopsida; Poales; Poaceae.
GGUCUCAUCGGACAUUUCUUCUAUGCGAAGGAGGUCACAGACUUGAUAAAACUCUCUUAGGUGUGUGUAUGGGUUUUCCUCACCUUCUCCUGAGAAAGGUUGUUUUUGAACAAAUUCUAUGUAUUCGGGGUAUAUCUCAAAACUAGAUGCUAUGAUAGGCUUUGAAGAUUUUGGUGGUUCGAGAUGUGUGCCCGUAGGUCUAUGAAAUUCAU